This 305-nucleotide ribosomal RNA is filed under the name uncultured bacterium. Its description in RNAcentral is "bacterial SSU rRNA". It matches the Rfam family "Bacterial small subunit ribosomal RNA", at positions 335 to 638 of the family's 1533-position model. The record is from RNAcentral.
UGCCUACGGGACGCAGCAGUGAGGAAUAUUGGUCAAUGGGAGAGAUCCUGAACCAGCCAAGCCGCGUGAGGGAAGACGGCCCUAUGGGUUGUAAACCUCUUUUGCCGGGGAGCAACGGGGUCCUUGCGAGGGCCCGAUGAGAGUACCCGGAGAAAAAGCAUCGGCUAACUCCGUGCCAGCAGCCGCGGUAAUACGGAGGAUGCGAGCGUUAUCCGGAUUUAUUGGGUUUAAAGGGUGCGUAGGCGGGCUGUUAAGUCAGCGGUCAAAUGUCGGGGCUCAACCCCGGCCUGCCGUUGAAACUGGCG